AUGCCCUGCUUUAUGCCGAUUACUUUGCCAACACCCCGCUCUUCAAGCAGGAUAAAUUUCGUCGCCGUUUUCGUAUGGCAAGACAUUGUGUUCAAUCGUAUCCGAGAGGGAGUGGUUGCUCAUGACCCAUACUUUGAGUGUAAGACGGAUGCCCUUGACAAGCUUGGGUUCUCCUCUUAUCAGAAAUGCACCGCGGGCAUCUGCAUGCUUGCAUAUGGUAUUCCAGGCGAUCUGGUGGACGAGUAUGUGCGUAUGAGUGAGACAACAUGUCUGAUGUCAAUGUACAAGUUUUGCCAGGCCGUGAUCGAGGUGUUUGGCCCAGAGUACUUGAGACAGCCAACUGCCGCUGAUACAGAGAGAUUGUUGGCGACCAACGCAGCUAGAGGCUUUCCAUGCAUGCUUGGCAGCAUAGAUUGUAUGCAUUGGGAGUGGAAGAACUGUCCAUUUGCUUGGUAG
This 456-nucleotide ribosomal RNA is filed under the name Triticum aestivum (bread wheat). RNAcentral's name for it is "partial small subunit ribosomal RNA". The record is from RNAcentral. Lineage: Eukaryota; Viridiplantae; Streptophyta; Magnoliopsida; Poales; Poaceae.